UGACGAGAAAUAGGAACAAGAAAGUCCUCCCUCUUCACCUCUUCAAAUGGCUGGAACACUAGACCGGUAAGAGUUCCACUGGCAGAAGAAACUACAAGACUAGUGUUCCUUUUCUUUCUGGAAAACAAAGGCAAGGAAGAAAUGCCAUGCCCACCACUAGCAGCGUCCCCUUGCUUUGUUGCAAGAGAAAAGGCAGAAACACUUCUCGAAAAAGUUGAAGCCAUAGCUUAAAAUGAGAAAAACAGAGGUUUUUUGGUAUGUAAAUGGAGAUUUGUGGGUGUGCAGAGGGUGAAGGAGCAGAGGGUGUUUAAAUACAGAGAGGAGGUGCCAGAGGAUGGAUGAGGUUUGUUUCGGACCGCUGGAUCAAGUUAGAUAUUUAGGGCUUAGAUCUUGCCACGUUUUGAGGGCGUGUGGAGGGCUCGUGGUCUAUCCAGUGUGAACGGAACCUCUACUUGUAAAUUCUUUCCACGUUGCGAUCUCAUAAUCCCAAAGACUUGUCCUUCCUUUCUCAAUCGCUUGAGUGUAAUAAAUAAUUGUACUCGCGUAGUGAGACCUGAGACUGUACGUAUUUUAGACUUUUCGUUUUGAUUUGAAAAUUUCAGUGGUGGGUGAUUUCACGUGACAUAUGUGAGAGUACGUUGAUAGUUUUCCACGCUGCCAAAAACUUUGAAUUUGGACAUGUAUUUUGUCGUAUUUAGCGCGGGACAGCCACGCUUUGCAAGAAACCACUUUAGUCCCUUUAAUUGAGUCGAUCCAGCAUUAAAACCCUAAUAAAUUCACAUUUUCCAAUCUGAACCUUUGUAUCACAUUUUAUUAAUUCAAACUCAUUGGGAUAAAUUGUAAAUAUACCGCGAAGAAUAUAAGCAGGGUAAUUAAAUUGAUGAAAUCUUCAUUUCAAUUGAGUCGAAAUAACAAAUUGUGAGGAGUAUAGGGUGAAUUGGAUGAAUAUUGUUACAGGGACUGAUCUGGAUAAUUUAUACAAACACAGGGUCUAAACUGGGAGAUAUUUCCUCUUUUCUUGUCUUGUGAUUUUCUGAGCUGGCAUUGUCGCAAUCCGAGACUAAAAAAAUAAUAAGCUUGUUCUGUUUGCCCACUGUUUCUAACCCAUUCCAGAUCUUCCACUUGAUUUACGGGCAAUGAAAGUGUUAUCACGGUAAUUUUUCAAAGUUUAUUUUACUUAUAAAAAUAUUAAAAUAAUAUCUUUUUAUUUUUAAAAAUUAUUUUUGACAUCGAAAAAAUAUAAAAAUAUUUUAAAAAAUUAAAUUUUAAUAAAAAAUAGGUUAAGAUUCACUUCAAUCAUUAAUAUUAAUGAACUGUGAAGAAAAGAAAAAAUUGCCGAGCCCAGUAGUUCAUGGGCUCAGAAAUGGGUUUGGGCCUGAUUUAGAUUGUUGCAAAACAAUGGGACUUCCGUUUGAGGACUGUAAAUGUCUAGUUCCUUCUUCUCAGUGCCAUUACUUUCGGCCAUAGUUACCAUCUGUAAAUGUCUCCAUGAACGAUGGGAGGUGAUGCCACAAAAACAUUUUUUCUGUGGAAUUUUAAAUUACGUUGUAUAUUUCCUCAUCUGAUAUAUAUAUAUAUAUGUUCUCAAUCACACAAAUGAAAAAAUCCUUAAUGUUUUUACUUUUCAAAACAUGCAUGAUUGAUUAUAGUGAAAACCCUUAAAAAAUGGACAGCCACGUGUAUAAAAUUAUAUUGCAUUUAAAAUGAUGUAUAUAUGUAACUUUCAGACGGGUUUAGACAAUGGUUGUCGUUAAACUGUGUUUUUAUAAAUUUUUUAGUCUUAUUUUUUGUGUUUUUGUAUUAUUUUAAUAUUUUAAUAUUAAAAAUAAGUUUUUAAAAAUUAAAUAAAAAAUAUUAUUUUAAUAUAUUUAUAAAUAAAAAAAAUUUAAAAAAACAACAUUUAUCAUAAUUUUAUUUUAAUUUUUUUUUUUUUUUUGUUUCAAAACAAAAAUAUCCGUAGAAUGGUUCGUUUUAUUUAGAUAUUGACGUUCAAGUACUGUACUGAAUAACAUUUAUGUAGCUUAAAAAAAAAAGGUUUAGCAAUUAUGAGUUAUGACCAUCAGAUUAGUAAAGGGUGAAGACUUGUCCUUCUUUUCUCAAUCGCUUCAGUGUAGUAAAUAACUGUACUCGUGGAGGGAGACCUGGGCUUUACAUAUUUUAGACUUUUCGUUUUGAUUUGAAAAUUUCAGUGGUUGCGUGAUUUCACGUGACAGGAGUGAGACUAGGUUGACAUUUUUCCACGCCGCCAAAAAACUUUAAAUUUGGACGUGUAUUUUGUCGUAUUUAGCGCGAGGCAGCCACACUUUGCAAGAAACCAGUUUAGUCCCUUUAAUUGAGUCCAUCCAGCAAUAAAACCCUAAUAAACUCACCUUUUCAAAUCUGGACCUUUUUAUCACAUUUUAUCAAUUCAAACUCAUUGGGAUAAAUUAUAAAUAUACCGCGAAGAAUAUAUCACAUUUUAUUUUUGAUAUAUUACAUCAAAAAAAUUUAGAAAUAUUAAAAUAAACAAUUUAAAAUAAAAGAAAUAAAUUUUAAUAAAAAAACAGAUUAAAAAAUCACUCUCAAACGUUGUCAUACUAAGCAACUAGGUCAAUCAUUAAUUAUGAACUGUGAAGAAAGAAAAAAAUUGCCGAGCCCAGUAGUUAAUGGGCUCAAAAAUGGGUUUGGGCCAGAUUUAGAUUGUUGCAAAACAAUGGGACUUUCGUUUUCUUCUCUGUGCCAUUACUUUCGGCCAUUGUUACCAUCUGAUAAGUAUUUGGAUUAGGUCAUCUUAAUUUGAUUGCUUUCUUUUCACCAGUCUCCAUGAACGAUGGGAGGCAUGUUAUAUAUAUAGGAGAUGACGCCACUAAAACAUUUUUUUGUGGAAUAUAUAUAUAUAUAUAUAUAUUCUCAACCACACAAAUGAAAAAAAUCCUCCCUAGUAUUUAUGAUAGCUAGAAAAAAGAUUUAGCAGUUAUGGCCUUUAAAUUAGUAAAUGCUCAAUAAUUAAGAAUAUAAAAAAAAAUGAAAAGUAUACUUUGUUUUAUACACAUCAAAUUUCCAUCUUAGAGAAAAGGAAAGGGGAUCAAGAAAGGAAUUAAUAGGAUGAAGAUCAUUGUCCAUAAUUAACUUUAAGAUAUAUUUUUUUGUAUCUUUAAUUUUAAUCAAGUUUUUGAUUAAGAAAAGCCUAGUAAUUAGAGUUUUUAAUAAUCUUUUAUUUUAGCCACUUUUAAUGAAAAGAAAUUAUAUCAAUGAAGUCUUUGGUUCAUUAGAAAGUCAUUACAAGUUGUUUUACAUAUUUUCAGCUGAUGAUUUGAAAGUUAUUGUAAAAUUAAAAACUUGAAAAAAGUUAUGAUUUGACAACUUUAGGGUGCUAGAAUUUGGCCUUCCAAUGAGUCUUAUUAUAUAUAUAAAAAAUUAAUAUUGAGAUCUUUGAUUUAAUAGGCUAUAUUUUUAAAUUGAAGUUGUGAAGUAAGGGUUAUAAUCAAUGAAAAAAACUAAUUAAAGGUAAAAGAUUUUGAUUUGAUAGAUUAUUAUGAUUUUUUAUCUAGUCAAAUGAUGAAAUAUACCUUAUUAUUAUUGUGAUUAGAGUAACCAUGAUUUUUGUUUUUACUUUGAAUGAUAUUGUGCAAUCCAUGUUUAUAUUCUAAGUAAAUAAUUUGAGUUAUUAAAAGUUUAUGAAUAAAUUGUGAAAUUGCUUAUUACACUAUUUUAUUUAAAAGAAAAAUAUAUCACAACCUCUUAUAACCUAUGCUAGUUUUUAUUUUUAAAUAAUUUGAUAAUUUUCAUAAAAAAAAAAAAAGAAGAAGAGCAAGGGCUAUAAUAACAUAUUAGGGGUUUUAAGUGAAUGUGAUAGGUGGUUUGAGGUCUCAUAAGUUAGAAUGAUAAUUAGGCUUUGAUUAAGUUGAAAAUUAAAAUGGAACUGAUCAAUUGUAUUUUAGCGAAUCAAUAAUUUACAAUGUUUAGAGUGCUUAAUUUUCUCUAAAAACUUUUUUAAUUUGUAUAUGUUGUGUUUGUCUUAAAUUGUGGGUUCAAAUAAGAAAACAAACAUUCAUGCAUAUAGUCCAUAUAAAAACCUAAAGUUGUUAUAUUUUAGGGUAAGACUUAUAUGAGUGUUUUUAUUCUCUACACUUUAAUGACUAGAGAGAGGAAAGAAAAGGUGAUUCAUGGUUACAUUAUGAUUUUGAGGUGAGAGAGAAAUUUUACGAGACACCUUGUAAUCUUUUACUUUUUCAUAUUAAAUUUAAUAGUAUGAAUGACUUUAAUAUCUGGCAUAUUAAGAUAUGUGUCUUGUUAGUUCAACAAGGCUUAUUUAAGGCUUAAAAGGUAUAUACUUGUUUAAAAGGAUGGUGAGAAGGAGAAAUAAGAUCUCAUGGAAUAGGCACAUAAUGCUAUUCAACUUUAUUUAUCUGAUGAGAUUCUGAGAGAGUUUACUAAGGAGACAACUACUGGAUUGUGGAAAAAAGUUGGAAACUUUUUACAAGACCAAAUCCCUAAUGAAUUGAUUACACUUGAAGCAUCGGUUGUAUACUAUUCAAAUAAAAAAAGGCAUGCCUAUUAAAGAUCAUCUUUAUAAAUUCAAUAGAGUAAUUUUAAAAUUUAUAUAAUUUUGAUGUUAAGGUUGAAGAUGGGGACCAAAGAUUGAUUUUAUUAUGUUUAUUACCUCUAUUUUAUGAUUAUUUUGCUGAUACUUUAUUAUAUGGACUUGAUAUUCUUAGUUCAAAUUAUGUCAAAACUUUAUUAAACUCUAGAGAGUUGAAAAAGUAAGUGUCAGAGAGUCAUAAUGAUAAUCAUAUAUAUGACUUAAUUAUGAAUGGUGAAACAAAAAAUAAGGGUUUGAGAAGUGGAGGCAUAUUUAAAUCAAAAUUAAAGUCUAUGAAAAUUAAAUGCUUUGAAUGUUAUAAAAUAUGACACUUUAAGAAGAAUUAUCUCAAGCGAAAAGGUAAGGAAAAGAAGAAGAAAACCUCUGAUGAUGUAAAAGAUGCUAAUGAAAAGGAAAUUUCUAAUGAUACUGAAAGUAUUCUAGCUAUGUGUGUUGGUAGAUAUUGAUUUAGCUAAUGCAUCAUACGUGGCUAAUUCAGAUAGUGUUUCUAUUCAAUUAUGGCACAUGCGACUGAAAUAUACGAGUGAGAGGAAAAUAAUAGAGUUUAACAAAUGAGAUUUGUUUUGUGGUCAAGAAUAAGAUAAAUUGAAUUUUCAUGAGCAUUGUAUUUAUGGUAAACAGUGCAUGUGAAAUUUAGUACAAUUAUUCAUUGUAUUUAUGUCAAAAAGUAGAGUACAAUAUUUGUUGACAUUAUUGAUGACUACUCUAAAAAGGUCUGUUUGUAUUUUUUAAAGAAAAUAAGUGAUGUGCUUGUCACUUUUAAGUAGUAGAAAGAUUUAAUUAAAAAGUAGAUUAGUGAGAAGAUCAAGUGUUUAAGAAAUGAUAAUAAUUUGAAAUUCUAAGAACAAAGGAAUUGUUAGACUUCAUAUUAUCAAGAAUACACCAUAACAAAAUAGGGUUGCAGAACAUAUAAAUAUGAGACUAUUGAAAAAAGCAUGUCGUAUGCUUUCACGAGUUAUAUUGUCAAGGGACUUUUAAGCUGAAGUAGUUAACAUAACUUGUUAUAUAAUGAAUAGAUCUUCAUCGAUAGUUUUAAAGUUGAAGACUCCAUAUGAAAUAUCAUCUGGUUCUUAUGUUAAUUACUCUAAAUUGAAAGUAUUUAGUUGUUAUACUAAUGUUUUUAUUAAGAAUGAUAAACUUGGGCCAGGACAAAGGAAAUGCAUAAGCAAUUCAUCUAGGUUGAAUGGAUAUUGGUUGUAAUGUGUUGAUCCCAAGUCACCUAAGUUUAAUACUACUAGGGAUGUUACCUUUGAUGAAUUUUUCAUGUUUCAUAAGGAAAAGGAGUUGAUUGGUGUUAAUGUUAAGAUGGAAUAUGAUACUAGUAAUAAGGUAAAGCUUUAGAGAUAGUGUUGAAAAUUGUGUUUUAAUUGAGCCUGAUGAGGAAAUAGUGAAGAAUAUAAUUAAUAAAAAUGCACCUGAAGAACAAUAUUGCAAUAUUGCAAUAAAAAGACAAAGAAGAUAGAUAAAAGCACAAGUUAAGUGUGGUUAUGCUAAUUUAAUUGAUUUUGCCUUGAAUGUUGUAAAGAGUCUUAAUAAUCAUGAGCCUUGUUCUCAUAAAGAAGUAAUUUCUUAUAAAGAAUCUUAUUAAUGCAUACUUGCUAUGAAUAAAGAGAUUGAAUCUCUUUAUAAGAACCAAACAUGGGAGUUUGUUAAACCAUCAUAGAGUCAGAAGAUUAUUGGGUACAAAUAGGUUUAUAAAAGGAAAGAUGGAAUCCUAGAGGUUGAUGAUGUAAGGUUUAAAGCACACCUAAUUGCUAAUGGUUGGUUGACUUUAAUAAAGUGUUCUCUCAAGUUAUGAAGCAUAGUUUUAUUCGGGUAUUGCUUACUAUAGUUGUUUUGUUUAAUUUAGAGCUUGAGCAGCUAGAUAUCAAAAUAAUUUUUCUAUAUGGUAAGUUGGAGGAAAGGAUAUACAUGCAUCAACUAAAGGGUUUUAUUGUUCAAGGUAAGAAAGACUAAGAAUACUUAUUAAAGAAAUCAUUGUAUGACUUGAAGUAGUCACAAAGACAAUAGUAUAAAAGGUUUGAUACUUUUAUAUUUGGACAUGGUUAUUUAGGAGUGAUUAUAAUAUUUGUUUGUAUUUCAAGAAGCUUUCAGAUGGUUCAUUUUUGUACUUGUUAUAUAUUGUAUGUUGAUGACAUAUUGAUUGUCUUAUGUUUUGGAUGCUUUUACAACCAUUUGUACAUCCUAUUUAUGAUAUCGAUUCUCUCCACUUGCUUACUAAUAAACAGACAACAAAUUAUAGACUAAGCUAUAUUGGUUCAAAUUUAUGGAAAGAACAAUCAACCUUCACUGAAUAGCAUGAUUUAAAAGAACUGAAUUAUGUAGUGUACAUAAAGUUUGGAAGCAUCAUUGUCCUUACACCACAACAAAUGCUAGAAUUGGCCUAGGUUUUGGCUAACAAUAAAAAACCUUUUUCAUGGAUAAUAAGGUUCGACAAUGAUCCUGGUGAGUUUGUUAACCUUUGUUGUAAAUAUAGUAGAUUAAUAAUCAAUGAUGUUUAGUUUACCAUGAUAAGAGUAUACAAAACAUAAAAUAAUGUUCAAUGAAAGCCUUUAGUUUACCAUAAUAAGAGUAUACAAAACAUUAAAAAAUGUUCAAUGAAAGCCUAUAAUGUAUACAAGUUAAACAUGCUUUUAACACAAAUAUAAUAAAAGAAUAUCAACAUGUAUUCAAAUUUGAAUAUAUUAAAUAUAUAUUCAAAUUUGCAAUUGAUAUAAAGUCAAAGUCUAGAUAUAUAUACUGUCAUUAUCCAAUUUUUUAUUCUAAAUAUUUUCAAAAUACAAAAAAAAAUUGUAAAAUCUUUUUUUGACUCGUUUGUGUCAUUUCAUCAUUUUCAAUGCUUUCUUGAAAAUUCAAAAUUUAUUUUUAAUACACUCAGUUAUUAAAAUAUUUAUUUCAAAAUCAUCGAUUAAUUUUUUUAUAUCAAGUUGAUGUAGUCCUUUUCAAAAAAAUUAAAAAGAGAAGAGAAGGACCAAAGUAUCUGGAAGAAAAAUAAAGGAGGACUAAAAUUUUGAAAGAGACAAGUGGGAAAAAAAAUAAACACUCACCUAUAUUAUCCCACUCACCCAUAUUUUCCCACUCACAAUAAAAAAACACAAAAACACACUUACCUAUUAUUCUUCCACUCUCCCAUGCUCCACCAUGAACCCCAUUAAAAAACAAAUAAUAAUAAAAAAUUAUGGAUGGGGUUUGAGAAAAAGGUUAGGGCAAUUUUUAUUUUUUUUUGGGGGGGUUGUCCUUCAAAAGAAAAGAGGAGAUUGUUGAAAAUCUACGGAGGAGCCUGAUUCGGCUAGCACCUCCCCAUUUUUUCAACACCAGUCAGUAAAACAACCCAUAGUUUAAAUUAUGUUGAUAUUCCAUAUUAAAUAGUAUAUAUUCAAGAUUGAAUUUCAGUAUAAUUUUAAUUUUAAAAGCAAGUGAAUCUCAUUUUUAAUUUAGCUUAAAAUGUGUCCAUUAACCUUAUUAUUUAAACAAAUUUCCUCACAGUCAACCAUUUUUUCACCUGAAUUCCUUACAGAAACAAAGGAUAGAGGCAUGUUAGCAAGUUAGCGUCCACAACAGCAGAUUUCAAAGCACCCAUCAAUAGGAGUAUUUGUAAGUCACUUGGGAUGGAAUUCGGUCCUUGAAGCCUUAGUUGUGGAGUUCUUGUUUUUUUUUUUUUUUUGCCAUUUUUCUCAUAGCAGCAAAACAACUGUUGGUUUGCUUGCAACAAAUGGGGUAUCGGUAUGGAGAUAAACGGUGAUGUUAGGAGAGAUCAAGUUGGGAAGCUUGUUAUAGAGUUAAUGGAGGGAGAAAAGUUGGGAAGCUUGUUAUAGAGUUAAUGGAGGGAGAAAAGGGUAAGGAAAUGAAAAGGAAGGCGAUGGAAUGGAAGACAAAGACAGAAGAAGCUGCCAGCCCCGGCGGUUCUUAUUGCAAGAACUUCGAAAAUCUGCUAGCAGACAUUCUUUUGGUGCAAAAAACAAGAAAUAAAAUUGAGAAAGGUAAGCCAGUAGUUUCGCCAGUAUUUUUGUAUCAACAAAAAAAUCAAUGCAAUGGAUUUUCUCUGCCCUUGAACAAGAAAUCAAUGUAAUGAUUGUUCUGUAUCAAAUAAAACAAGCUAUGGUUCACAAAAUCAGCUCUGAAUCAUAUGAUUUAAUUUGAUCACCAGACUCCAUAUUUAUAGAUCAAUCAACUGAGGUGAUUCUACACUCAAACAGCCUGAAGUCAAAAGGGAACAUCAAGCAAAAUCCAUACUUAAAAUACAAAUACAUUUCACCUCCAAAUAAAAGAGUCCAAAUCUGUUUUCGUAAUGUUGCCACACAUUUUAUGAAAGCAAAGAAACUACGUGCUUCUUACUACAUUAUUGUCUAUUAUACAUCCUACACUGAAAACUCAUUAUCCUCAAUCCAUUAAAACUCAUAGAGAAGUUAUCCUAAAUCUACUAUAGCACAGACUUGAACCCAGAACGGGUGAAGAUUGUAUUUUCACAUCAUGCAUGGAGGAGCAUCUGAUCAAAGUGCCAUACUCCUACAAGUUCACAAAAACUUGUCUUAAAACCCAAAGUUAUAAAUAUAUGGAGAAUGGAAGAGUAAGUGGACAAGCAUGGUGAAAGUAACAAAGAUACUGAAAACGUAAGUUUUAUGCAUACCAUGGCCUUUUCCAACCAUCCGCAAUUGAGUGACAUAUUCUGCUAUCUUCUUAAUGGAUUCAACCUGUUAAAAAAAUUGUAUAUGUCAGAGUAUGAUGCAAUAAGUAUCCUUGCAAGUGUGAAAGUAAAAUGUCACCGAUUUUUUAUGUGAUUGUGUUCUUCCAUACUAAAUUUUUCAAUUUUAUUCUCAGUUUUGGACAGAACAAAUGUCUAACAGGUUGAUGACAGGAGGAAAACAGUAAUUUUUUUUUUUUCUGGAAAUAGAUGAGUGAAUGUUUUUAAAUGCAUAAUCUGAUAUCUUUAUUUUCACCUUCAAUCUGGCACGACCGCCUUCCAGUGUAUCUCACAGGAUUAGUGCAUACAAGUGUUCAAUCCAGUAUUAUAUCCAGGUAAAGAAGCAAUUAUUUUGAGCUUACCUGCUCUUUCAAAAACACGCUAUCGAUGAAAUCUUGCAAUUGUGGAUCAUUGUUCUUAUCUGCCACCUGUUAUUUAUCAAGAACACAGUAUAGCUCAUGAGCACAAUUCUGAAAACAUUGAUUAUUCCAGGCAUUUAAUGCAAGAAAGCACAUAAUACUUCCUAAUUGCAUGAAAUUAAAAUAGAAAAAACAUGGUGAAGGAAAAAGACACGUCACCUUGUGCAAGUUCAGUAGUUUCUCAUUUGUCAACUUCUCCAAAGACAGUGCUAGUUCCAUAGCUGAAUCAAAGAAUCAAAGACAGCCCAUGUUAAUUAACUCAGAAACAUAUCCUGACACCUCUAUAUUAUGGAAAGCAUAUCAAAGAUUGGAGACAAAAUCCACCAACUAAGUCACUUCCCUUAAAAUAUGGAUGGAAUUAUGAUGUAGCCGGGGUUAUAUAAAAUUAAAGGUUACGAUUAUUCGAAUAAUAAUUUGCUAUAACUAGAUAGAGAUCUGCCACCAACAAAUCAUGUUAAUGACUUUGUAGAUGUUUUUAUUGACCAAUGCGACAUGUUUAGAGGUGAGAGAAGAUUUGAUCAACAUCAAACUAGGAUAGUGACUUAAAAAUAAUAAUAUCAGGAAAUUGAACCAUUGAAUCGGAUUCCUAUCUCUUCAGGUAAUUCUACAUACAACUUUUUUUUUAUGAGUAUCGUUUCAUUUAUUGGACCGUUAGAUCUUCUAAAAUUAGACUUGAAAGUUAUUGUAUGGGUCAAUUUUGUUAUUUUGCUUAUAUUUUUUUGGAAUUAUUGUUUUAUUUUGAAUUUUAUAUUAAUUUUCUUUAUUAUUUCAGAUUUUUAUUUGUUUCGUAGCAGAGACAGUGUUUUCUUCAUGGCUUGUAAAUCUCUAAGAAAACAAACAUUAGCCUUAUUUUAAAAAAAAAAACUAUAAAUUUAGAGUUUAUAUUUGUAAUCAGUUUCAUUAGUUAAAUCUUUUGUGUUUUCUGUAUUAUCGACAAAAUCCACAAAUAAUACUCAACAGUUUCUAGCAAUGAACACGAGUCUACAAACAUACCAUAUAAUGCAUCUCCUUUGUCACCAUGCUCAAAUUCAGAAACGGGUUUCAGUAUAGAGUGAAGCACUACUUUCCCUCCUCGUAUAUUCUAAUCACAUAUAUUUGGAAAAUAAUUAAUUAAGAAUACCAAAAAUUAAAAAGUAUAUAUUCGAGUUCGAAAAAGGAAGUGGUAGCCUGGUAGGUACCUGAUACUUCAUGAACUUCUCAGCAUGUUCUCUUUCUUCUUCACUUGAUUCCUUGAAGAAUCUGAUUAGAACAUGACCACACCAUACUCAGUUAUUACAAAUCAAAGACAAAAAUGAGGGAAGUAGCCAAAAACAAAGAGACGGGAUUUUUAUGGUUACUUGGAUAGGCCUUUGAGAGCAAUGUUAUCCCUGUCAAAAUAGGCAAACAUGGCAUGGUAUACGUAGGAAGCAGAAUACUCCACACUGUUAACACAAAACACAAACACAAAUCAAUAUCUAUCUACUCUACAAUGAGAUUUCAAGAUUAUGUAUCUCUUACAAAAAGAGAGAAGUUAUUACUGACUUGAUCUGCUCGUUAAUGGCAGCUUCACACUCAUCCACAUAGAACUGACGAGCAAGAGAAACCUGACUAGAAAUAGGAACAAGAAAGUCCUCCCUCUUCACCUCUUCAAAUGGCUGGAACACUAGACCAGUAAGAGUAUUCCCGGUGGCAGAAGAAACUACAAGACUAGUGUUCCUUUUCUUUCUGGAAAACAAAGGCAAGGAAGAAAUGCCAUUUCCACCGCUAGCAGCGUCCCCUUGCUUUGUUGCAAGAGAAAAGGCAGAAACACUUGUCGAAAAAGUUGAAGCCAUAGCUUAGAAUGAGAAAAAAGAGAGGUCUUUUGCUAUGUAAAUGGAGAUUUG
This 11544-nucleotide long non-coding RNA is filed under the name Populus tremula. RNAcentral's name for it is "long non-coding RNA (PTRE_LNC001260)". Lineage: Eukaryota; Viridiplantae; Streptophyta; Magnoliopsida; Malpighiales; Salicaceae. The record is from RNAcentral.